Molecule: ribosomal RNA, 478 nt
Filed under: uncultured bacterium
Lineage: Bacteria
Description: SSU rRNA
Rfam family: Bacterial small subunit ribosomal RNA
Source: RNAcentral
AGGAUAAACGCUGGCGGCGUGCCUAACACAUGCAAGUCGAACGUCUCUUCUUUCGGGAAGAGGAGUGGCGGACGGGUGAGGAACACGUGGGAACCUGCCCUUCAGUGAGGAAUACCGGCGAGAAAUCGCCGACAAGACCGCAUAGCCCUCUCUGGUGAGAGCCAGAGAAGGAAAGCUUCGCAAGAGGCGCUGGAGGAGGGGCCUGCGUCCGAUUAGCUAGUUGGUGGGGUAAGAGCCUACCAAGGCGUCGAUCGGUAGCUGGUCUGAGAGGACGAUCAGCCACACUGGGAUUGAGAACGGCCCAGACUCCUACGGGGGGCAGCAGUGAGGAAUUUUCGGCAAUGGGGGAAACCCUGACCGAGCAACGCCGCGUGCAGGAAGACGGCCUUCGGGUUGUAAACGUGCUUUUUCUUUGGGACGAGCAAGGACGGUACCGAGAGGAAUCAGCCCCGGCUCACUACGUGCCAGCAGCCGCGGU